This 499-nucleotide ribosomal RNA is filed under the name uncultured bacterium. Its description in RNAcentral is "partial 16S ribosomal RNA". It matches the Rfam family "Bacterial small subunit ribosomal RNA", at positions 28 to 507 of the family's 1533-position model. The record is from RNAcentral.
GACGAACGCUGGCGGCGUGCCUAAUACAUGCAAGUCGAGCGAAGUUUUUCUGGUGCUUGCACUAGAAAAACUUAGCGGCGAACGGGUGAGUAACACGUAAAGAACCUGCCUCAUAGACUGGGACAACUAUUGGAAACGAUAGCUAAUACCGGAUAACAGUAUUUCUCGCAUGAGAGAUAUUUUAAAGUUGGUUAUGCUAACACUAUGAGAUGGCUUUGCGGUGCAUUAGCUAGUUGGUGGGGUAAAGGCCCACCAAGGCGACGAUGCAUAGCCGACCUGAGAGGGUGAUCGGCCACACUGGGACUGAGACACGGCCCAGACUCCUACGGGAGGCAGCAGUAGGGAAUCUUCCGCAAUGGGCGAAAGCCUGACGGAGCAACGCCGCGUGAGUGAAGAAGGAUUUCGGUUCGUAAAGCUCUGUUGUUAGGGAAGAAUGGAUAUGUAGUAACUAUACAUGUAAGAGACGGUACCUAACCAGAAAGCCACGGCUAACUACGUG